GGGACAUUAGCUCAGUUGGUUUAGAGUACUUGCUUGACAGGCAAGGGGUCGGCAGUUCGACUCUGCCAUGUCCCAC
Molecule: transfer RNA, 76 nt
Filed under: subsurface metagenome
Description: tRNA-Val
Source: RNAcentral